AGAUUUGGUUUGAACUUUAUUGUUGAUGCAUUUGAUUCACAAUCAUAGGAGUGGACCCAGAUACCCAACUCUCUCACCUGCAGGAGGCACAGUGGGAGCAGCAUGAGUAGAAUCCCUCAAGAAGAGAGCGAGUGAGAACUUCAGCAGCUGCUGCUCCUGCUAGUGGUGUUGCCAAUUGUGCUUUCUGCAGUUCGAGGCUGAAGUGAGACAAAGCAAGAUUCAAAGGGUGUUCAUAUUUUCCCCGCUAGAAAAGCAAAUGUGUUCCCAGCUCUCUUCUGUUGCUCUGCACCCAGCAAGCUCCCAGGAACACACCACGAAUCCCAGUCCUGGGGUCCCACAUGCCCUGCAGGCAUACAGGUCCAUCAGCCCUGCUAGAUCCAGUGUUUCUCUCUGCGUCCUAUUGACUCAGGACCCCCUGGCUGGGCAUCGAGGCCACAGGAGCCAUCCCUGGCAUCUGCCACUCAGCUGAGAGCAGCUGAGCAAGCUUUGGGCAGAAGGCUUCUCCCAGAAACUCCCCCCACGUCCUCUCCACAUUCAGCUCUAAACGGGGCUGCAAAUGAGCCAACCUAGAUCAGGCUGAGCUGCUAAAUCAUUUCAAGUGGGUGAUUCAUAUGCCAGCUAAUAAUAGCAGCUGCUGGCCAUGCCAGCACAAUGACUGACCAUGGAAGUUCCACAUGGCUGCAGGCUGCACCCUGUCAGCUGUCAUGGGCUGAGAUGGCUGUGGCUGGCGGUUUGCCCCUGAGGGCAGGUUUGCCCCUAAGGCCAAGCGUGGAGCUGCAAAACAUGCUGUGGGCAUUUCUGCCAUCGGGGCUUCUCCUCUGCUGAAUUGGAGCCGGGCACUCUCCCAAGGCGAGCAGAGCUCGGGUGAGGAGCUGGUUGAAACCCAAGCUGCUUCAGAACACGAAGGCCAGUUUUGACAAGGGAAUGAAAUCCAAGGCAGGGAAAGGAUGGAAUGCGGGGAAGUACAAACUGGAAGGAGGUUACAGAGAGCGAUGAGGACCAGGUCAGUGGAGGCUGAAAGCAAUCAGCACUGCCAGGAAUCAGCCCUUUUCCAGCAGCAGCCCUUUAGGUGGAUGAAGGAUUUGGCCGGUGAAAACAUUGCCAUGACCCUGGGGCACUGUGGAGUGCGUGGUAGGUCUUCAAGAACAACUAUCUCAAGGCAAGACAAGCACAUGGAAUUUUUCCCUGUGAUUCAGGAGGAC
Molecule: long non-coding RNA, 1202 nt
Filed under: Numida meleagris (helmeted guineafowl)
Lineage: Eukaryota; Metazoa; Chordata; Aves; Galliformes; Numididae
Description: lncRNA (ENSNMEG00000000265.1)
Source: RNAcentral